Molecule: ribosomal RNA, 690 nt
Filed under: Escherichia coli
Lineage: Bacteria; Pseudomonadati; Pseudomonadota; Gammaproteobacteria; Enterobacterales; Enterobacteriaceae
Description: partial 23S ribosomal RNA
Rfam family: Bacterial large subunit ribosomal RNA
Source: RNAcentral
CGAACCGGGGGAACUGAAACAUCUAAGUACCCCGAGGAAAAGAAAUCAACCGAGAUUCCCCCAGUAGCGGCGAGCGAACGGGGAGCAGCCCAGAGCCUGAAUCAGUAUGUGUGUUAGUGGAAGCGUCUGGAAAGGCGCGCGAUACAGGGUGACAGCCCCGUACACAAAAAUGCACAUGCUGUGAGCUCGAUGAGUAGGGCGGGACACGUGGUAUCCUGUCUGAAUAUGGGGGGACCAUCCUCCAAGGCUAAAUACUCCUGACUGACCGAUAGUGAACCAGUACCGUGAGGGAAAGGCGAAAAGAACCCCGGCGAGGGGAGUGAAAAAGAACCUGAAACCGUGUACGUACAAGCAGUGGGAGCACGCUUAGGCGUGUGACUGCGUACCUUUUGUAUAAUGGGUCAGCGACUUAUAUUCUGUAGCAAGGUUAACCGAAUAGGGGAGCCGAAGGGAAACCGAGUCUUAACUGGGCGUUAAGUUGCAGGGUAUAGACCCGAAACCCGGUGAUCUAGCCAUGGGCAGGUUGAAGGUUGGGUAACACUAACUGGAGGACCGAACCGACUAAUGUUGAAAAAUUAGCGGAUGACUUGUGGCUGGGGGUGAAAGGCCAAUCAAACCGGGAGAUAGCUGGUUCUCCCCGAAAGCUAUUUAGGUAGCGCCUCGUGAAUUCAUCUCCGGGGGUAGAGCACU